GAUGAACGCUGGCGGCGUGCCUAAUACAUGCAAGUCGAGCGAACAGACGAGGAGCUUGCUCCUCUGACGUUAGCGGCGGACGGGUGAGUAACACGUGGAUAACCUACCUAUAAGACUGGGAUAACUUCGGGAAACCGGAGCUAAUACCGGAUAAUAUAUUGAACCGCAUGGUUCAAUAGUGAAAGACGGUUUUGCUGUCACUUAUAGAUGGAUCCGCGCCGCAUUAGCUAGUUGGUAAGGUAACGGCUUACCAAGGCAACGAUGCGUAGCCGACCUGAGAGGGUGAUCGGCCACCCUGGAAGUGAGACACGGCCCAGACUCCUACGGGAGGCAGCAGCAGGGAAUCUUCCGCAAUGGGCGAAAGUUUGACGGAGCCACGCCGAGUGAGUGAGGAAGGUCUUCGGAUCGUAAAACUCUGUUAUUAGGGAAGAACAAAUGUGUAAGUACCUAUGCACGUCUUGACGGUACCUAAUCAGAAAGCCACGGCUAACUACGUG
This 497-nucleotide ribosomal RNA is filed under the name uncultured bacterium. RNAcentral's name for it is "partial 16S ribosomal RNA". It matches the Rfam family "Bacterial small subunit ribosomal RNA", at positions 28 to 507 of the family's 1533-position model. The record is from RNAcentral.